CCUACGGGAGGCAGCAGUGAGGAAUAUUGGUCAAUAGGCGCUAGCCUGAACCAGCCAAGUAGCGUGAAGGAUGACUGCCCUAUGGGUUGCAAACUUCUUUUGACAGGGAAGAGUAGAAGACGGUACCUGUCGAAUAAGCCACGGCUAACUACGUGCCAGCAGCCGCGGUAAUACGUAGGUGGCAAGCGUUGUCCGGAUUUACUGGGUGUAAAGGGCGUGUAGCCGGGUUGACAAGUCAGAUGUGAAAUCCUGCGGCUUAACCGCAGAACUGCAUUUGAAACUGUUGAUCUUGAGUACUGGAGAGGCAGACGGAAUUCCUAGUGUAGCGGUGAAAUGCGUAGAUAUAACUUAGAACCCCGAUAGCGAAGGCAGCUUACCAGACUGUUACUGACGCUGAAGCACGAGAGCGUGGGUAGCGAACAGGAUUAGAUACCCUUGUAGUC
RNAcentral lists this ribosomal RNA (443 nucleotides) under uncultured bacterium. RNAcentral's name for it is "partial 16S ribosomal RNA". It matches the Rfam family "Bacterial small subunit ribosomal RNA", at positions 338 to 795 of the family's 1533-position model. The record is from RNAcentral.